Long non-coding RNA from Sorghum bicolor (sorghum), 410 nucleotides. RefSeq lists it as uncharacterized. NCBI's taxonomy places the organism in Eukaryota, Viridiplantae, Streptophyta, Magnoliopsida, Poales, Poaceae. The record is from RefSeq and is a predicted model, not a curated record. The transcript is spliced from 2 exons.
CAAAUCAUUCAAGGUCCACUAUGAAUAUGAGUGACAGAUGCAGAGCCUUGGUAAUUAUAUUGCUUCUCUUUGUAUUUCUUGUGCAAUGUCGUCCUCACGAGGACAUCGAUGUUGGAACUACAAGGGGCCGAGCUGCUUUUAGUCUCACCGGAACUGGAUAUUGUGACAUGGAGCGCCAAAAUAAUAAAGUGAUCUACUGCUGCUCACAUCCAAUGCCAAAACAUUGUUAUAACACUUUUCAGCAGUGUCAGGCCAAUUGCUAUGUUCGUAAUCGCAACUGAUUCCCCAUGCAGUCAAUGAUGCAUAAUCUGAGCAAUCUUCAGGUCCAUUUGAUUGUAAUAAAACCAUCGUUGUUAAUUUGAUAAUGUACUCCACAAUGACUGGUAAUAAUAUGGGAAAGUUUUAUGCUU